This 7195-nucleotide long non-coding RNA is filed under the name Lactuca sativa (garden lettuce). RNAcentral describes it as "long non-coding RNA (LSAT_LNC008430)". Lineage: Eukaryota; Viridiplantae; Streptophyta; Magnoliopsida; Asterales; Asteraceae. The record is from RNAcentral.
UUGACUUUGACUGAGGACUUUGAUUUUGACCAAGGGUUGACCGUUGACUUUUAGGGUUUGGUCAGCGAUGUGGCCUUUGGGCCAAGAGAGGGGUAAAAUAGUCUUUUACCCUUAAGAGGGUGCAUUGAGAGGAUUGAUUCUAGUCUCGAGAGUUAUAGUCAUGAGAGUUUUGCCUUACGUGUUAGGCGGUGGCGAGUUCGAGAUCCGAGUAUGGAGAUAUCUGCUUUUUGCUUGCCAGGUGAGUCUUCUCACUAUACUUUACCUUGAGUAGGUAACCAGAGUUAUGUGACAGAGUAUUUGUAUGCUAUGUAUGUUAUGUGUUGUACUGCAUUAUUUCUAUGUGAUUUAUGCUGUGCAUGGUUGCAGAGUUGGAACCGAAGGGUUCCUAGAGUUAGAACCGGAAGGUUCAUAGAGUUAGAACCUGAGGGUUCACAGAGUUUGGGUGCACGGACCCAUAGAGUUAUAGCCUCGAGUGGCUUAUAUGUGUUAUGUGUGUGGUAUUUUGGGGAACUCACUAAGCUUCGUGCUUACAGUGUUUUGUGUUUUGUUGUUUUCAGGUUUCUUUCAGUAUCACGGUACGGCACCGGCUUGAUUGUACACACCAGAGCAAGAGUCAUAUUUUGGAGGAUCCUGGUUUUCUAUGCAAGUGAAAAUGGAGCUAUGUUUUGUAAUUUGAUUAUGAAUGAGAUUUUUAACAAGUGUUCUAAGAAUAAAAUGAUUAUUUAAAAUGAAAGAAUUGUUUUGAAAUUUACGGUGUUACAAGUUGGUAUCAGAGCCUUGGUUUGAGGGAUUCGGAUGCGCCUUUGGGUAAAUCUGGACUCAAACUGAGGAAGUAAGAAAAAAAAAAUUUCAAAGAAAUAAUUUUCUAAAAAGUGAAUAAGAGUUCAAAAAGAAAGCAAGAAAGAGCAGUGUGUACAAUCAGCCAGAGCCCGAACGGUGAUUUCCCAAAAUACCCUUAUUUUUGUGUUAUGAGAUAUUUAUGAUGCACUUUAUGAGAUAUUAUUGCAUGCUAGAGGCAGGCUAGGUAUUUCACAUCUUAGGACUAGAGUAGCCUGAUCUGUGAUGCCUUAGCCUAGGACUUGUUGUUAUAUGUGUUAUGCUUUUGAGUAUGUGAUGAGUGAGAGUACCCAGUUAGAACCCAUGAGGGGUAGAGUUGCAGAGUUCAGUGGUACUUCCGAGGAUGAGCCGAGAAAGUGGAGUUAUCACAGAGAGGGAGACCUAUGUAUUCUUCGAUGCUCGAAUGUUGCUUGCUUUGUGCUUUGUGGAACUCUCGAUGAUGGGAGUCAGCUACCAAGUGAAUAUGACGAUAUUCAGGAGGUAGAUGGCUGGCAUCACAGGGAGCUCUUCAGCAGCUGAUAGCAAAGAAGUGGGAGGACAACGGAAGAGCCUAGGGAGUAACCCUAGCCAGAUGAGUGCGCGGGUAGAGUAGAGAAUUUCGCUGGGGAGCGAGCACGCGCGAUGGGAUUGGUGACAAAUCAGGUCGAGCAGCUACUUAGGAGCUCUGGGAUGGUCCGUGUGGAAAGUAUGGGUAGAUGUGGCAGGUAGUAUGGGCCCGUACUACUGAAAGCAGAGGACCCAUACAUGAAACAGGGAGUAUUCUGAAGGUCCUAAGAAGCGGAUUGAGGAGUGAUGUUAUGGUUCGAGUACCAUACAUCGGAGCGGAUUGAGGAGUGAUGUUAUGGUUCGAGUACCAUACAUCGGAGCGGAUUGAAGAGUGAUGUUAUGGUUCGAGUACCAUACAUCGGAGCGGAUUGAAGAGUGAUGUUAUGGUUCGAGUACCAUACAUCGGAGCGGAUUGAGGAGAGAUGUUAUGGUUCGAGUACCAUACAUCGGAGCAGAUUGAGGAGUGAUGUUAUGGUUCGAGUACCAUACAUCGAAGCGGAUUGAGGAGUGGUGUUAUGGUUCGAGUACCAUACGCCGGAGCAUAUUGAGAAGAGAUGUCAUGGAAUGAAUACCAUGGUUCAUAAGGAAAGAUGUUUGUGGUUCCCCGGCUAUCCGGUUAUGAUUGAGUUCGGAGAGGCGUCCCUUGAGAGGAAGAUCGAGAGCCUCUCAGAGUAUUUUAGUAAGGAGUCAGUGAGAAGGAAGAAUUUCAAUCUGAGUUGAGCGAUCAGUCGAUAAAGGAGAUGUCACCUUCUAUGAUCUGGGUGGUUCUGAUUAUGUUCGUGUGCAAAUAUGAGAAGCAUGAUGUUGAGUUUUGGGUUGGGGGUAAACCCUGCAGGUCGUCAUUGAUGAUGAUUUUUCCCCCAGUGUAUUAGGUAGCAUGUGUGCCGCGAGGCGGUGACUUAUCAUGAGCAGAUAGUCAGUUGGGACUGAGGUAGUCGAGGACCACACUACACCUAUUUGAGUAUAGUAGGAUGUAUUAUAGUGGUAUCAGUGGGGAGUUCAGUCGAGUUUAGCAGUGCAGAGAGUUUUCUAUCUAUGUUGGGUGUUGAAUAUGGGAGUGGGUCCCUGUUCUUGGGAUGAUCCCGGUGUUGGAGCGAUGUUUGAUGAGUUGAGGUGAGGGGUACGAUGAUUUUGCGGUUCAGUCUAUGAGCCAGAGAUGUUAUUGAGCAGUUGAGAUGCUUAGUGCUAGAUUGGUAUGAGAUUUGGAACGACUAGAGGCAGUCGUGAUGAGAAGUUCUUGAGGAGUUCAUCAGAGGUUCACAGUAUAUGAGGUCGAUUGAUUUCCUUAAGAAGGAAUUAUCGGGCGUUGUGUAGCACUUUCCUGGGGCAGGUGCGAUUUCGCUGGUGAAAAAUAGUUGUGGGUUGGUUGCGUGCUAAUUGGUGAUGGUUCGAACCCUAAGUGGGGGAGAACCGGGUACAGUAUGUAAGAAAGCAGAGAUUUGUCAAGAGCAGUUAUAAGUGGAGUAUAGAGAUCUGCUGUAAGAAAUCAUGAGACCAGAGAUGUCGGUGAUCGAGGAAAGAGGUCAGAGUGAGUUAAUGCGGGAAGUACUUGUUGAGAAUGAUGAAUGUCUCCACGGCAGGUGUUUGGUGGUCAGUGUUGUUGCAAGUAGAUAGAGAAUGAUUGGGCAGCCAACUCCCGGGUCAGUAUGUGUAUCCUUGUUUGGAUUUUGAGCGGUAGAAAAUGGGUUCGGAGAAUUAUCAGCGUAUUUAGUAGCGUUAGCGUUUUCUUGUAUUCCAAUUGAGAAAUUGGAUACACCGAGGUUGCAAUUUGAAAAAAAAAAUGCAGAUCUAAUUAUGGGGUUCAGAGGAAAUGUAUUAUUGUGUCUAUAUGAUGCUUGGGGCAGGAGAUCAGUGGUUGUGGCAGGAUCUUGUGAUGUUCUGUUGGGGUAUUCCGAGAUAUCUGGGUAUGAUAUCUUUAUUUCGGAGUUACUCGUGAAUCUUGAAUUGAAUCGACUUGUGGUAUAUCAGGUAUCUAUGGAUCUAGUGGGAGCCCUUCGAGUAUGGGCAUCCAGGGAGAUUAUUUGAGAGAGUGGAUUUUCGCAAGGGUGGGCAUUUGUUAUGUUGAUUGCCUCCAGAGUCUGUGAUGGAUAUUCGAGUCGAGUAUGGGUAGCCGUUGAUGAUAGUCUUCGGAGCACGAGCUAGUGGAGUCAGAGGGUGUUGUGAUACUGCGGGGAGCCGUAGUACUCACUAGUCAGAGGGUGUUGUGAUACUGCGGGGAGCCGUAGUACUCACUAGUCAGAGGGUGUUGUGAUACUGCGGGGAGCCGUAGUACUCACUAGUCAGAGGGUGUUGUGAUACUGCGGGGAGCCGUAGUACUCACUAUUCUGAGGGUGUUGUGAUACUGCGGGGGGGCCGCAGUACUCACUAGAUGGCAAGAGAAUGUGAUGAUGGAAUGUUUUCCGAACAAUGUAUGAUGUGGAAGAGUUUUGGGUUUGAGUAGCCCUAGUAUUGACUUUUUGGAGCCUGGAUGUUGAAUCGGGGGCGAGACUGGGGUCUCCGUCUCUGUCGGGAGAUGCGGUGAGAUGCGCAAGGGAUAUGCGCAGCAGAAACCAGAGAUCAGAGUUGAGACGAUCCUUGGUUGGACCGUAUUUUCUCGCAUGAGGAAAAGAGGAUUUCGUGACUUGCGUGUCACUGGGCAGUGAUAGUGGUCACGGGGAAAAGGUUAGUGAGAUGUUUGGAUCAUGUUAUGGGAGACCUUUGGAGGCUCAGCUGUGGAGUCAAAAGCUGACUUGGUGCUCAGUCUCGAAGAGGGAUAUGAGAAAUGAGCUAGAGCUUAUCAGGAGGUUGUCUGAGGACACUUCAGAGCGAGUGAGCGAUUCAGACGCUCGAAGUCAUGCUUCGGGCAUGUGUAUUAGAUUUCGGAGGAAGCUGCGGCACGUAAUUAUCCUUGGUCGAGUUGUCCUAUAUUAACAGCCAUCAUUAGUGCAUUGGUAUGCCGCCCUUUGAGCUGUUGUAUAGGAGGAGGUGUCGGACCCUCAUUUGCUGAGGAGAGGUAACGCAUGGACCCGAGAGUCCUUGCGAGCAGAUCCAGAGCAUGUGCGAUACAUGGAGUAGUGGCAAGGUUGUCAAGUGGAUUUCCCUAGGUAAGGGCAGAGAAAGGUAUGUAACCCCGGGGGGGAAGUGUUGGUUCACGGAAGUGAAGGUAGUAGUGCGAAUGGAUGAUUUAGAGUAUGAGGGUUGAAUGCGGUGUCUGUUACAGUGGUAUGGAAUGACAUCAUGAUGGGAUGUCUGUUGAGGACGCGGGAGGGAUUCCGCAGGUGUAGAGCCAGGAGGCUCGGAAGGGAUCCAGGGAGAGAAUCCUGGACUCUCAGUGUGAUUCUGAUCAGGGUAUUGGGUAUGUAUCAGUGGUUCAUCCUGGGGGGAUGUUUGAGGAUAUCAUCAGUGUAUCGAGUUUUCCAACCUGAGGGUGUUGGAGCUAGUUCAGCAUGUGUAUGUGAUUGCAAGAGGAGAACUCGUGAGAGUUGCUCUGAGAGUGAGAAUGGGUCUCUCAGUCGUUCCGGAAUGGAUAAAGUGGGAUUCGGAUCGGGGAUCCGAUGGUUCAUGGCUUUCUAGCCCUUAUGGGUCGAUCGGUUGUUGAUAUUUGGAGCAGUGAUACAUCUCGGGUAAUUCUCGAUUGUUGAGUGUGAUUAUCAGAGGGUACAGCCGGUGCCUGGUUUGAGACGGUGGUCAGGACACCGCAAGGAAAGAGGAAGUGAGUUCGAGUUCGAUGGUUAUGCUUUGAUGAACCUGGUCCAGUUAGGGCCAGGUGGCGCGCCGUGGGAGUAUUUUGGAGUUGAGUUGCCAUAGGCUUCGAGGACGAAGCAUAAUUUAAGUGGGGGAGAAUUGUAACAUCCCGAAAUAUCAAGAGUAGAGUUGAAGGGCUAAAAGAGUAAGUUGUGAAAGAGUGACUCGGCGAGUCCAUGGAUGGACUCGGCGAGUAGAGUCGCGACUGGGUCGCGUGCUAAGUAGCCGACUCGGCGAGUCAGUGAGGAGGACUCGACGAGUAGGCGCUGAUUGGAGAAAACCCUAAUUCUCGGGGUUGAGCCCUAUAUAAAGAACAUUAUGUUUUCCUCCCAGCCUCCUUAUCACCCCUUGAGCCCCAGAAAACCCUAAAUCGCGGAGAAGCACCAUUGUUGAGUGGAUUGGAGCUUGGAGAAGUAAUUGUUGAAGGAAUUUUGGGAGAUUGAAGGCUUGGAGCAAGGGGCUUUGCUUGGAUUCGAAUUACAUUGCAGUUGGGGCAUCUCUUGGAGGUAAUAUCUCGUUCUUGGGCUGUUAUUAUGUGUUUCUUCAUUUUGGGGUUUGUGGGAACUUGUCUAUGGAUGUAAUGGGAAGUCUAGAGGUUAGAUCUGAGGUUGCUACCUCAGAUCUAGAAGGGAGAAGAAUCAGAGAGCAUGAAAGUCCCUGUGUUGGAGUGUUUAGUGAAGCUUUCAUGUCCCAAACCCUAGCCCAAUGUGCAAAUGGCCUAGAUCUCUUUGGAUUCACGUAAAGUUUGCCACUUUACGUGAUGGAUGAGUGGUAGGAGGCUAGAUCUAUGUUUUGGAGCAAUUGCAUGGCCUGGAAUGCUUCCGAAUGGAUUCAGACCGGUGGUACUCGGCGAGUCACAUGGGUGUACUCGACGAGUUGGAUGAAGAUGGCCUGGAACUCGGCGAGUUGUAUGAACAACUCGACGAGUAGGUUGAUGAUAGUCUUGGACUCGGCGAGUCUGUUCUUGGACUCGACGAGUCUUGUCGAAGAGUCCCGAUAUUCCCUGGUUGAGUCGAGAAUCGGUGAGUCAAGGGAUGACUCGGUGAGUUGUGUGCGAGUGGACUCAGAGUUGUUGGACUCGGCGAGUCUCGGAGUGACUCGGCGAGUUAGGUCGCGGAUUGAGUGAAGUUCUGAUUAUAGAAACUCGGCGAGUCAUAGAGUUGACUCGGCGAGUAGGGUCAGUCAGGGGUUGACUUUGACUGAGGACUUUGAUUUUGACCAAGGGUUGACCGUUGACUUUUAGGGUUUGGUCAGCGAUGUGGCCUUUGGGCCAAGAGAGGGGUAAAAUAGUCUUUUACCCUUAAGAGGGUGCAUUGAGAGGAUUGAUUCUAGUCUCGAGAGUUAUAGUCAUGAGAGUUUUGCCUUACGUGUUAGGCGGUGGCGAGUUCGAGAUCCGAGUAUGGAGAUAUCUGCUUUUUGCUUGCCAGGUGAGUCUUCUCACUAUACUUUACCUUGAGUAGGUAACCAGAGUUAUGUGACAGAGUAUUUGUAUGCUAUGUAUGUUAUGUGUUGUACUGCAUUAUUUCUAUGUGAUUUAUGUUGUGCAUGGUUGCAGAGUUGGAACCGAAGGGUUCCUAGAGUUAGAACCGGAAGGUUCAUAGAGUUAGAACCUGAGGGUUCACAGAGUUUGGGUGCACGGACCCAUAGAGUUAUAGCCUCGAGUGGCUUGUAUGUGUUAUGUGUGUGGUAUUUUGGGGAACUCACUAAGCUUCGUGCUUACAGUGUUUGUGUUAUGUUGUUUUCAGGUUUCUUUCAGUAUCACGGUCCGGCACCGGCUUGAUUGUACACACCAGAGCAAGAGUCAUAUUUUGGAGGAUCCUGGUUUUCUAUGCAAGUGAAAAUGGAGCUAUGUUUUGUAAUUUGAUUAUGAAUGAGAUUUUUAACAAGUGUCCUAAGAAUAAAAUGAUUAUUUAAAUGAAAAUUUUGUCUUGAAAUUUACGGUGUUACAUGUAUGUUAGGUUAGGCACGUUGUAUGGUAUGUGGUAUUUUGGGGAACUUAGUAAGCUUCAUGCUUACGGUCCCGUUGUAUGGUAUGUGGUAUUUUGGGGAACUUAGUGAGCUUCAUGCUUACGGUUUGUGGUUUAAAAAU